RNAcentral lists this ribosomal RNA (524 nucleotides) under uncultured Mycobacterium sp. RNAcentral's name for it is "bacterial SSU rRNA". It matches the Rfam family "Bacterial small subunit ribosomal RNA", at positions 33 to 557 of the family's 1533-position model. Lineage: Bacteria; Bacillati; Actinomycetota; Actinomycetes; Mycobacteriales; Mycobacteriaceae. The record is from RNAcentral.
AAUUUAGCGGCCGCGAAUUCGCCCUUCAUGCAAGUCGAACGGAAAGGUCUCUUCGGAGACACUCGAGUGGCGAACGGGUGAGUAACACGUGGGUGAUCUGCCCUGCACUUCGGGAUAAGCCUGGGAAACUGGGUCUAAUACCGGAUAUGACCAUGAGAUGCAUGUCUUAUGGUGGAAAGCUUUUGCGGUGUGGGAUGGGCCCGCGGCUAUCAGCUUGUUGGUGGGGUCACGGCCUACCAAGGCUCCGACGGGUAGCCGGCCUGAGAGGGUGUCCGGCCACACUGGGACUGAGAUACGGCCCAGACUCCUACGGGAGGCAGCAGUGGGGAAUAUUGCACAAUGGGCGCAACCUGAUGCAGCGACGCCGCGUGGGGGAUGACGGCCUUCGGGUUGUAAACCUCUUUCACCAUCGACGAAGGUCCGGGUCUUCUCGGAUUGACGGUAGGUGGAGAAGAAGCACCGGCCAACUACGUGCCAGCAGCCGCGGUAAUACGUAGGGUGCGAGCGUUGUCCGGAAUUACUGG